This 642-nucleotide ribosomal RNA is filed under the name Triticum aestivum (bread wheat). RNAcentral describes it as "partial small subunit ribosomal RNA". The record is from RNAcentral. Lineage: Eukaryota; Viridiplantae; Streptophyta; Magnoliopsida; Poales; Poaceae.
AUGCGCACGGAGUUUUCCCUCCCCGAGCUAGAUUAUCUUAGCCCCCACCUAUUCGCCUGGCACUGGCUACCUUCUAGUGGGACCACUGGGCACUCGUGUGGCAUCCUUUUAGGUGUGAAGGAUGCCACCUUUGAGGUUGGCGGUAUGGACCGGGGCGAAUUCUUCGUUAGUAUGGAGAUCUUCGAAUGGGUGCUCAACUUAAAAUGGGAGGUCGUCAUUGUCUAUGGACCGGCGGAUCACCGCCGCUCCUCGACGUUCCUCGCUGAGCUCCAACGGAAGGUCUCCACCUCCCCCCUCCCGGUGGUUGUGGGAGGGGAAUUCAACCUCAUCCGCUCUCCGGAUGAGAAGAGUAACAACCGUAUCAACCGCCCCAGGAUGCAGAUGUUCAACGACUGCAUCAAGGAGCUCGGCCUCCGCGAGCUUGAGCGGACUGGCGCCAGAUUUACUUGGACGAACCGCCAAGCCGACCCGACAAAAUCCGUGCUGGAUCGCGUCCUAGUCUCCCCAGAGUGGGAACUCAGGUUCCCCUUGGCUUCACUCCGGGCAAUCACCCGGAUCGGGUCAGACCACGUCCCUCUCCUCCUCUCCACCGCCAACGAAUGCCCCCCCAUCCUGCCGCAUUUUCGGUUUGAGCUUUUCUAG